RNAcentral lists this ribosomal RNA (508 nucleotides) under uncultured bacterium. RNAcentral describes it as "partial 16S ribosomal RNA". It matches the Rfam family "Bacterial small subunit ribosomal RNA", at positions 28 to 507 of the family's 1533-position model. The record is from RNAcentral.
GACGAACGCUGGCGGCGUGCCUAAUACAUGCAAGUCGAACGCUUCUUUCCUCCCGAGUGCUUGCACUCAAUUGGAAAGAGGAGUGGCGGACGGGUGAGUAACACGUGGGUAACCUACCCAUCAGAGGGGGAUAACACUUGGAAACAGGUGCUAAUACCGCAUAACAGUUUAUGCCGCAUGGCAUAAGAGUGAAAGGCGCUUUCGGGUGUCGUUGAUGGAUGGACCCGCGGUGCAUUAGCUAGUUGGUGAGGUAACGGCUCACCAAGGCCACGAAGCAUAGCCGACCUGGGAGGGUGAUCGGCCACACUGGGACUGAGACACGGCCCAGACUCCUACGGGAGGCAGCAGUAGGGAAUCUUCGGCAAUGGACGAAAGUCUGACCGAGCAACGCCGCGUGAGUGAAGAAGGUUUUCGGAUCGUAAAACUCUGUUGUUAGAGAAGAACAAGGACGUUAGUAACUGAACGUCCCCUGACGGUAUCUAACCAGAAAGCCACGGCUAACUACGUG